This 338-nucleotide ribosomal RNA is filed under the name uncultured bacterium. RNAcentral describes it as "bacterial SSU rRNA". It matches the Rfam family "Bacterial small subunit ribosomal RNA", at positions 28 to 366 of the family's 1533-position model. The record is from RNAcentral.
GACGAACGCUGGCGGCGUGCUUAACACAUGCAAGUCGAGCGGUAAGGCCCUUUCGGGGGUACACGAGCGGCGAACGGGUGAGUAACACGUGGGUGACCUGCCCUCAGCUCUGGGAUAAGCCUGGGAAACCGGGUCUAAUACCGGAUAUGACUCCAUGACGCAUGUUGUGGGGGUGGAAAGCCUUGUGCGGCUGAGGAUGGGCCCGCGGCCUAUCAGCUUGUUGGUGGGGUGAUGGCCUACCAAGGCGACGACGGUAGCCGCCUGAGAGGGCGACCGGCCACACUGGGACUGAGACACGGCCCAGACUCCGUACGGGAGGCAGCAGGUGGGGAAUCUUG